This 289-nucleotide ribosomal RNA is filed under the name Klebsiella pneumoniae. RNAcentral describes it as "partial 16S ribosomal RNA". It matches the Rfam family "Bacterial small subunit ribosomal RNA", at positions 46 to 331 of the family's 1533-position model. Lineage: Bacteria; Pseudomonadati; Pseudomonadota; Gammaproteobacteria; Enterobacterales; Enterobacteriaceae. The record is from RNAcentral.
AGGCCUAACACAUGCAAGUCGAGCGGUAGCACAGAGAGCUUGCUCUCGGGUGACGAGCGGCGGACGGGUGAGUAAUGUCUGGGAAACUGCCUGAUGGAGGGGGAUAACUACUGGAAACGGUAGCUAAUACCGCAUAACGUCGCAAGACCAAAGUGGGGGACCUUCGGGCCUCAUGCCAUCAGAUGUGCCCAGAUGGGAUUAGCUAGUAGGUGGGGUAACGGCUCACCUAGGCGACGAUCCCUAGCUGGUCUGAGAGGAUGACCAGCCACACUGGAACUGAGACACGGUC